RNAcentral lists this ribosomal RNA (261 nucleotides) under uncultured Streptococcus sp. RNAcentral describes it as "partial 16S ribosomal RNA". It matches the Rfam family "Bacterial small subunit ribosomal RNA", at positions 1114 to 1363 of the family's 1533-position model. The record is from RNAcentral. Lineage: Bacteria; Bacillati; Bacillota; Bacilli; Lactobacillales; Streptococcaceae.
GUUGCCAUCAUUCAGUUGGGCACUCUAGCGAGACUGCCGGUAAUAAACCGGAGGAAGGUGGGAUGACGUCAAAUCAUCAUGCCCCUUAUGACCUGGGCUACACACGUGCUACAAUGGUUGGUACAACGAGUUGCGAGUCGGUGACGGCGAGCUAAUCUCUUAAAGCCAAUCUCAGUUCGGAUUGUAGGCUGCAACUCGCCUACAUGAAGUCGGAAUCGCUAGUAAUCGCGGAUCAGCACGCCGCGUCCAUCGUCCGGCCUU